Long non-coding RNA from Vidua macroura (Pin-tailed whydah), 396 nucleotides. RefSeq lists it as uncharacterized. The transcript is spliced from 3 exons. NCBI's taxonomy places the organism in Eukaryota, Metazoa, Chordata, Aves, Passeriformes, Viduidae. The record is from RefSeq and is a predicted model, not a curated record.
ACCCUUGCACUCUUUUUCUAUGGAAAGUCUGAAGGAGGAUCUGGGACCUUGAGCUGCUGCUCCAUCUCUGCAGGGCAUGAAAACAGAAAGCUCUGUAGUGGUCCUCCAGAAGGGAUCCUCUUGGUCUUGCCAGUGCUCUCCAGCAGCCUUCCAAGGAGCGAGGGUGCCCUGGCUGACGUCGAGAAAGCAGAGCACAAAGUGACAGUAGGUGGACAGGGAGGAGAAUUGGGCGCAGGCUGAGGCCAUGGUUCUUCUGAUAAACCAGCUGUCCCUGCUGCCCGCUCCACCCGCAGCUGCAGCAGGAUUUGUUGCAGGAGAAGAUGCCGCGGAUAUGGCCUUGCGGCUCCAGAGGCCCAUGGCCGUGCCCAAAAGUCCAAAAGCAGGCAGUUGCCACGC